Molecule: long non-coding RNA, 446 nt
Filed under: Mus pahari (shrew mouse)
Lineage: Eukaryota; Metazoa; Chordata; Mammalia; Rodentia; Muridae
Description: lncRNA (MGP_PahariEiJ_G0002759.1)
Source: RNAcentral
CCGCCUUGGAUGGACAGAGGGACGGAGCAGCGAGCAUCUGGCCAGUCGUGUCCCCAGCUCCCCUACAGCGGUCUCCAGCUGCUGUCUGCCCGCUGCCCGCCUGCCUGGCAUCUCUCUCCCGGUGCUAGCUGCAUUCCUGGCCUGGGAGAAGGGAGCCUGUCCGACCCCCCAUGUCAUGCUGGAUGGCUUUGCAGAGGUGCCUCACCUGAUCCUGGAUGGAUGUCAUCACCCUACAGUGGUCCUUUCAUGACAGGCCACAGGGCCACCAUGUGAUGAACAGGAUACAUCUGCCACGACUGGGAGGUGGGGCUGCUUCCCAAAGGACCCUGUGCCAGGUGAAGAUGAGCCAGGGUCUCUGUACUGGCUGGUUUUGUGUGUCAACUUGACACAGGCUGGAGUUAUCACAGAGAAAGGAGCCUCAGUUGAGGAAAUGCCUCCAUGAGAUC